Molecule: non-coding RNA, 93 nt
Organism: Mycena rebaudengoi
Lineage: Eukaryota; Fungi; Basidiomycota; Agaricomycetes; Agaricales; Mycenaceae
Source: the annotation of a GenBank genome assembly
GCCCUCGUGGAUUAUGAAGGUACAUCACCCAUUUAGUAUUGAACGUUUCUACUAUGCCAAUGGGCAGUGGGGGUUCAAGUCCCCCCGAGGGCA